UACGUAGGGUGCGAGCGUUGUCCGGAAUUAUUGGGCGUAAAGAGCUCGUAGGCGGUCUGUCGCGUCGGAUGUGAAAACCCAGGGCUUAACCCUGGGCCUGCAUUCGAUACGGGCAGACUAGAGUUCGGUAGGGGAGACUGGAAUUCCUGGUGUAGCGGUGAAAUGCGCAGAUAUCAGGAGGAACACCGGUGGCGAAGGCGGGUCUCUGGGCCGAUACUGACGCUGAGGAGCGAAAGCGUGGGGAGCGAACAGG
This 253-nucleotide ribosomal RNA is filed under the name uncultured bacterium. RNAcentral describes it as "partial 16S ribosomal RNA". It matches the Rfam family "Bacterial small subunit ribosomal RNA", at positions 524 to 776 of the family's 1533-position model. The record is from RNAcentral.